RNAcentral lists this ribosomal RNA (1206 nucleotides) under uncultured bacterium. RNAcentral's name for it is "bacterial SSU rRNA". It matches the Rfam family "Bacterial small subunit ribosomal RNA", at positions 100 to 1350 of the family's 1533-position model. The record is from RNAcentral.
GACGGCUGAGGAACACGUUGGUACCUGCCCCAUACUCGGGAAUAAGCGCUGGAAACGGCGUCUAAUGCCCGAUAGUCUCUUCGGAGUAAAGCUUUCGCGGUAUGGGAGGGGCCUGCGCAUGAUUAGCUUGUUGGUGAGGUAACGGCUCACCAAGGCGACGAUCAUUAACUGGUCUGAGAGGAUGACCAGUCAGACUGGGACUGAGACACGGCCCAGACUCCUACGGGAGGCAGCAGUCAGGAAUCUUGCACAAUGGGGGAAACCCUGAUGCAGCAACGCCGCGUGGAGGAAGAAUGCCUUCGGGUUGUAAACUCCUUUUAUGUGGGAAGAACAUUGACGGUACCACACGAAUAAGAGACGGCUAACUAUGUGCCAGCAGCCGCGGUAAUACAUAGGUCUCAAGCGUUAUCCGGAUUUACUGGGCGUAAAGCGUCCGUAGGUGUCCUGUCGCGUCUUCGGUGAAAUCUCCGGGCUCAACUCGGAAAUUGUCGGAGAUACGGACAGGAUAGAGUGUGACAGAGGCAGACGGAAUUGAUGGUGUAGGGGUAAAAUCCGUAGAUAUCAUCAAGAACACCAGUGGCGAAGGCGGUCUGCUGGGUCACUACCGACACUGAGGGACGAAAGCGUGGGGAGCGAACGGGAUUAGAUACCCCGGUAGUCCACGCCGUAAACGAUGGGCACUAGGUAUUCGGGGACUAGACCCCCUGGGUAUCGUAGCUAACGCGUUAAGUGCCCCGCCUGUGUAGUACGGCCGCAAGGCUAAAACAUAAAGGAAUUGACGGGGACCCGCACAAGCGGUGGAGCGUGUGGUUUAAUUCGACGCUAAGCGAAAAACCUUAUCCAAGGCUUGACAUCCCAGUCGUAUCCCCGGGAAACCGGGGAGUCAGUCCGGCUGGACUGGUGACAGGUGUUGCAUGGUCGUCGUCAGCUCGUGUCGUGAGAUGUUGGGUUAAGUCCCGCAACGAGCGCAACCCUCGUCGUGUGUUAUAUGUGUCACACGAGACUGCCUGGGUUAACCAGGAGGAAGGCGGGGAUGACGUCAGAUCCGCAUGACCCUUAUGCCUUGGGCUACACACGCGCUACAAUGGCCGGUACAAUGGGUUGCCAACCCGCGAGGGGGAGCUAAUCCCAUCAAAACCGGUCUCAGUUCGGAUUGGAGGCUGCAACUCGCCUCCAUGAAGCCGGAAUCGCUAGUAAACGCGGAUC